CUCUUCCAAACAAAAGUUGAUUUAUUUGUCAGAAUAUGUGCUGCACCUACUAAAAAUAUUUAGAAUUAUAAAUAAACUCUUCCAUCCCCCAAAAAAUCAUACCUGAAAUUGGCAUUUUGUGCUUGCUUGUAGAGGAAAAAUACUCUGAUUUGCUGCUUCUCCUGUGGCCUCAGAAAGCCAUUUGCUGCUGAAAGCAGAAAGCUGAUCUCCAUUUUUCUUAAGUCAAGGUGCAAUACCACGAUAACAUUAGCCAAACUAACCUGAGGCUUCUUCUGUCACUCUUCAUUCCCAGGCUUUCCCGGUCCUUUGCACCAGCACUGGUGCCUGUUUGAUCCUGUACAUAUCUGGUGCAGGGAGCUGAACUAGCAGAAACUAGCCAGAUCCUGUUUGCUCUCACUGUCUGGCAAGGACCAAUACACCACAACAUGGAUAAGGCAGUGACUACUGCUUUGCAGUAUGGAAGCACAGUACGCAUCACUGCUGGUUGCCCAUAAAAUAUAAGAUUAUGAAAAACAUUGUUAAAC
This 524-nucleotide long non-coding RNA is filed under the name Anas platyrhynchos platyrhynchos (common mallard). Its description in RNAcentral is "lncRNA (ENSAPLG00000030574.1)". The record is from RNAcentral. Lineage: Eukaryota; Metazoa; Chordata; Aves; Anseriformes; Anatidae.